UUAAAUAACAUGAACUUUAUUUAAAGAGGAGAAAUUACAGCCCAGACAUGUCUUGGUCUUCAGCAGUGGAGUUUUGUUGAACAGUUGUUAAUGCAUUAUAAUCUGCAGAGACUCAUAGUGGGAUGAAUAUAAAAUGAACAGAAACUUCUGAAAUGUGUGUGUGUGUGUGUGUGUGUGUGUGUGUGUGUGUGUCCAUACUGAUGGCAUUAAAUGAACAUUAUAACUGAUUAUGUACAGAAACGUUUCCUGAUGUUCAUCCAGCUUUACUCUGUAGAGCAGAGGCCUCCAGUCCAUCCUACAGCUUCUAGAUGCAUCUCGGCUCCAAAACGUCUGAAUUCCCUCAGCAGCGUUCAUUCAGCUCUGCAACAGGCCGGUAACGAACGCUUCACUUGACCCAGGUGUGUGAGCAGAUAUGCAGCUGGAGGCCAUGAGAACUGCCUCUCUGCUUUUAAACCAAAUAUUAAUAAUUGAUCAUCAUGAGGCGUAACAGUUGGAACCGACUGAUGAUUUAUUAAAUAUUCUGACUAAAACCUAAGUCACUUCUAUACUGGUUAUACUGGUUGGUUUUAGGUAAACUAUAACAUUUAAAAGCCAAAAACCAUGGGUUAAUUAACAGCUAAAUAAAGCAAUAUGGGUUUAUUAUGUGAAUUUUCCACUGCAUCAUAUUUAAAUAUUUAGUUUUAGUGGCUGAUAAGCUGGGUGUCCAGCACCAUGGACAGCAGCAGCAGAGGUCAGGGGUCAAACAGGAAGUUCAUGUUGUCUGGAGAACUGAAGCGAUCUCAGACAUUUACUGAGGAAAUAUUUAGUAACUUUUGACUUAAUUCAUCUAGAAAUGAACUGCAGUUUAGUCAAAUAUUUGAUAAGAUUUAUCUACAAACUGACUAGAGAACGAUUAAGCAGAAGAAGAACAAGAUAAAGAUUUGGUGAUAUUUAAUAAAAAAAUAUAAAUCACUUCAAUUUGGAGAAUCUUUAAUGUAACGGAUGGUUUCUCUGUCAGAGCGCAGCAGGAUCAGCAGGACACCGAGGACUGAUGGCCGACCCGUUUUAAAAUGUUCUGGCCGUUGUUGGAUCUGAACCAAGCAUCAUCUUCCUCUGGGCACAAGAUAAUCAGUCCAGUUAUCAGCAAGACUUCACCUCUGAGUAAAAAUAUUCUGCAUCAACCUUACAGAAAUCACCAAGUUUCAGACAAUGAAAAACUUCAUGAGUUUAAUAUUUCUUAAAUUAUUCACUGUUUAAAAGAAACAAAGAAAGCAGCUGAAGCUGUGAGGAAGAGGAGGAAGAGGAGGAAGAGGAGGAGCUGAUCUGUUCCUGAUCUCUAAGAGACUCAAACUUCCUCCUUCAGUUCAGUUCAACUCUCCAACAUUAACUCUGCUCAACAUGGACUAUUAUGGUCUGUCUCUGCUGGUCGCCUCCCUGCUAACAGCAGUCACCUGUGAAGAACUGAAUCCAGUCAAACAUGCAGAAUCCAGACCAGAAAGCAGCAAAGUUACUCUGUCCUACAAUUACUCCAAACCAGCAGUUGGAACUGAUUACUUCUUCUGGUAUCAUCAAUAUCCUGGAAAACCUCCAGAGUUCCUGAUCUCACACACCGGAAAUGGAGCAAAACUCCUGAAUCCGGUUCCUGGUUUCUCCUUCAGCGUGAGUGAAGAUAAAACCCGGAUGGAUCUGCUGAUCUCCUCUGCUGCAGUGACAGACUCUGCUGUGUACUACUGCGCUGUGAGGCCCACAGUGACAGGAAACACCAGAACCCUGUACAAAAACCUGCAGUACUCCACAGCAGCCACUAGAGGGCCUCACUCCCUGUUAAAACACUAAAACCUGCAGUACUCCACAGCAGCCACUAG
This is a non-coding RNA of Poecilia latipinna (sailfin molly), 1844 nucleotides long. The record is from the annotation of a RefSeq genome assembly. Lineage: Eukaryota; Metazoa; Chordata; Actinopteri; Cyprinodontiformes; Poeciliidae.